Molecule: ribosomal RNA, 460 nt
Filed under: uncultured bacterium
Lineage: Bacteria
Description: partial 16S ribosomal RNA
Rfam family: Bacterial small subunit ribosomal RNA
Source: RNAcentral
CCUACGGGAGGCAGCAGUGAGGAAUAUUGGUCAAUGGCCGAGAGGCUGAACCAGCCAAGUCGCGUGAGGGAAGACGGUCCUAUGGGUUGUAAACCUCUUUUGUCGGGGAGCAAAAAACGCGACGCGUGGCGUUCCGAGAGUACCCGAAGAAAAAGCAUCGGCUAACUCCGUGCCAGCAGCCGCGGUAAUACGGAGGAUGCGAGCGUUAUCCGGAUUUAUUGGGUUUAAAGGGGGUGUAGGCGGGAGUGCAAGUCAGAUGUGAAAACUAAGGGCUCAACCCAUUGCCUGCAUUUGAAACUGGGUUUCUUGAGUGGUGGAGAGGUAAGCGGAAUGCCGGGUGUAGCGGUGAAAUGCGUAGAUAUCCGGCAGAACACCAGUGGCGAAGGCGGAUUGCCGGACAGUAACUGACGCUGAGGCGCGAAAGCGUGGGGAGCAAACAGGAUUAGAUACCCGAGUAGUC